Molecule: long non-coding RNA, 322 nt
Filed under: Hordeum vulgare
Lineage: Eukaryota; Viridiplantae; Streptophyta; Magnoliopsida; Poales; Poaceae
Description: long non-coding RNA (HVUL_LNC006237)
Source: RNAcentral
CUGCAGGGAAAUAUUGUCGACAAUGCCCAUGCCACUGAAGCGAGUAGGCGGCCCUGCUCGGAUGGGUUAAGGCUUGCACUCACCAACAUGCUGCCGAGCCUUGUGGCAGCCUUCACAGAGAUCGGAGCCGAGGGGUGCCAAGAGUACCAGUAGCUGUAAUAAUCAAAUAGCCAUGUACUCUCAGCAACACAUCACUAGACAGACGAGUAUGUGAUGGUGAGACCUUUGCUACACCUACAGAUUAGUUUGGAUGGGCAGGCGGGCUACGUGAUGGCGGUGGUCUUGUAAUCGUUAACAUUAUUGUUCGACAACAAUUACAUAC